RNAcentral lists this ribosomal RNA (253 nucleotides) under uncultured bacterium. RNAcentral's name for it is "partial 16S ribosomal RNA". It matches the Rfam family "Bacterial small subunit ribosomal RNA", at positions 524 to 776 of the family's 1533-position model. The record is from RNAcentral.
UACGUAGGGGGCGAGCGUUGUCCGGAGUUACUGGGCGUAAAGGGCAUGCAGGCGGUCGGACGCGUUUUGUGUGACAGCGGGUGGCUCAACUGCGCGAGCAUACGAAAGACGGUUUGACUUGAGGGCUCGAGAGGGACACGGAAUUCCGGGUGGAGUGGUGAAAUGCGUAGAUAUCAAGUGGAACACCAGUGGCGAAGGCGAGUCUCUGGACAUUUCCUGACGCUGAGGCACGAAAGCCAGGGGAGCAAACGGG